UUUGAGACCAUUGCAGAACACAGUCCCAAA
This 30-nucleotide non-coding RNA is filed under the name Rattus norvegicus (Norway rat). The record is from RNAcentral. Lineage: Eukaryota; Metazoa; Chordata; Mammalia; Rodentia; Muridae.